Molecule: transfer RNA, 82 nt
Filed under: Mizuhopecten yessoensis (Yesso scallop)
Lineage: Eukaryota; Metazoa; Mollusca; Bivalvia; Pectinida; Pectinidae
Also listed under: 1 other name
Description: tRNA-Ser
Rfam family: tRNA
About the family: Transfer RNA (tRNA) molecules are approximately 80 nucleotides in length. Their secondary structure includes four short double-helical elements and three loops (D, anti-codon, and T loops).
Source: Rfam by way of RNAcentral
GUCACGAUGGCCGAGUGGUUAAGGCGUUGGACUCGAAAUCCAAUGGGAUCUUCCCGCGCAGGUUCGAACCCUGCUCGUGACG